RNAcentral lists this ribosomal RNA (253 nucleotides) under uncultured bacterium. RNAcentral's name for it is "partial 16S ribosomal RNA". It matches the Rfam family "Bacterial small subunit ribosomal RNA", at positions 524 to 776 of the family's 1533-position model. The record is from RNAcentral.
UACGUAGGGUGCGAGCGUUAAUCGGAAUUACUGGGCGUAAAGCGUGCGCAGGCGGUUCUGCAAGUCAGAUGUGAAAUCCCCGGGCUUAACCUGGGAACUGCGUUUGAAACUACGGAGCUAGAGUGCGGCAGAGGGUGGUGGAAUUCCACGUGUAGCAGUGAAAUGCGUAGAUAUGUGGAGGAACACCGAUGGCGAAGGCAGCCCCCUGGGCCGACACUGACGCUCAGGCACGAAAGCGUGGGGAGCAAACAGG